This 253-nucleotide ribosomal RNA is filed under the name uncultured bacterium. RNAcentral's name for it is "partial 16S ribosomal RNA". It matches the Rfam family "Bacterial small subunit ribosomal RNA", at positions 524 to 776 of the family's 1533-position model. The record is from RNAcentral.
UACGAAGGGUGCAAGCGUUACUCGGAAUUACUGGGCGUAAAGCGUGCGUAGGUGGUGAGUUAAGUCUGUCGUGAAAUCCCCGGGCUUAACCUGGGAAUGGCGAUGGAGGCUGCGAGGCUAGAGUUUGGCAGAGGGGGGUAGAAUUCCACGUGUAGCAGUGAAAUGCGUAGAGAUGUGGAGGAACACCGAUGGCGAAGGCAGCCCCCUGGGUCAAAACUGACGCUCAUGCACGAAAGCGUGGGGAGCAAACAGG